UACGUAGGGAGCAAGCGUUGUUCGGAUUCAUUGGGCGUAAAGGGUGCGUAGGUGGCGCGCUAAGUCAGGUGUGAAAUUUCGGAGCUUAACUCCGAAACUGCAUUCGAUACUGGCGUGCUUGAGGACUGGAGAGGAGACUGGAAUUUACGGUGUAGCAGUGAAAUGCGUAGAUAUCGUAAGGAAGACCAGUGGCGAAGGCGGGUCUCUGGACAGUUCCUGACACUGAGACACGAAGGCCAGGGGGGCAAACGGG
Molecule: ribosomal RNA, 253 nt
Filed under: uncultured prokaryote
Description: partial 16S ribosomal RNA
Rfam family: Bacterial small subunit ribosomal RNA
Source: RNAcentral